Molecule: long non-coding RNA, 298 nt
Filed under: Homo sapiens (human)
Lineage: Eukaryota; Metazoa; Chordata; Mammalia; Primates; Hominidae
Description: non-protein coding lnc-HIPK3-5:1
Source: RNAcentral
GCAAAAAUCUCCGGCUGCACAGAGAUUGCAUGGUGGUGCAUCACGACCCUGUGCUGUUUUCCAGAGAGGUAUGCUGGACGGGACCAUAACAGCUGCAAACUCUCCCAGAGGGGGUUCCUAAACUUCAUGAACACUGUACUGGUUGCCUUCACAAAGAACCAGAAGGGCUCUGGUGCCCUUGACUGCAUGAUGAAGAAACUGGACUUCAACUGUGAUGGGCAGGCUAGAUUUUCAGGACUUUCUCAGUCUUACUGAUGGUGUAGCUGUGGCUUGCCCUGACUCCUUCAUCCCGGCUGGC